Molecule: ribosomal RNA, 745 nt
Filed under: uncultured bacterium
Lineage: Bacteria
Description: bacterial SSU rRNA
Rfam family: Bacterial small subunit ribosomal RNA
Source: RNAcentral
UGGGACAACCCCGGGAAACCGGGGCUAAUACCGCGUGAGACCACGUCCCGGCAUCGGGAUGAGGCUAAAGUUCCGCAAGGGACGCUUAUUGAGGGAUCCACGGCCUAUCAGCUAGUUGGUGGGGUAACGGCCUACCAAGGCUACGACGGGUAGCCGGUCUGAAAGGACGACCGGCCGCAAUGGCACUGAGACACGGGCCAUACUCCUACGGGAGGCAGCAGUGGGGAAUUUUGCGCAAUGGGGGAAACCCUGACGCAGCGAUGCCGCGUGGAGGAUGAAGGUCUUCGGAUUGUAAACUCCUUUUACAGGGGAAAAAUGUCUGCGUGAAUAACGUAUAAUGAUGGUACUCUGUGAAUAAGCCACGGCUAACUUCGUGCCAGCAGCCGCGGUAAGACGAAGGUGGCGAGCGUUACUCGGAAUUACUAGGCGUAAAGCGUGGGCAGGCGGCUUGAUAAGUCUGUUGUGAAAGCUCCUGGCUUAACUGGGAGAGGUCAAUGGAUACUGUCGGGCUUGAAUGUGGGAGGGGUCACUGGAAUUCCUGGUGUAGCGGUGAAAUGCGUAGAUAUCAGGAGGAACACCAAUGGCGAAAGCAGGUGACUGGACCACUAUUGACGCUCAUCCACGAAAGCCGGGGGAUCAAACAGGAUUAGAUACCCUGGUAGUCCCGGCUGUAAACGAUGUUCACUUGGUGUGGGGGGUACCGACCCCUUCCGCGCCGACGCUAACGCAUUAAGUCAGCCGCCUG